GACGAACGCUGGCGGCGUGCUUAACACAUGCAAGUCGAACGGAAAGGCCCUGCUUUUGUGGGGUGCUCGAGUGGCGAACGGGUGAGUAACACGUGAGUAACCUGCCCUUGACUUUGGGAUAACUUCAGGAAACUGGGGCUAAUACCGGAUAGGAGCUCCUGCUGCAUGGUGGGGGUUGGAAAGUUUCGGCGGUUGGGGAUGGACUCGCGGCUUAUCAGCUUGUUGGUGGGGUAGUGGCUUACCAAGGCUUUGACGGGUAGCCGGCCUGAGAGGGUGACCGGCCACAUUGGGACUGAGAUACGGCCCAGACUCCUACGGGAGGCAGCAGUGGGGAAUAUUGCACAAUGGGCGGAAGCCUGAUGCAGCAACGCCGCGUGCGGGAUGACGGCCUUCGGGUUGUGAACCUAUUUCGCCUGUGACGAAGCGUGAGUGACGGUAAUGGGUAAAGAAGCACCGGCUAACUACGUG
RNAcentral lists this ribosomal RNA (468 nucleotides) under uncultured bacterium. RNAcentral's name for it is "partial 16S ribosomal RNA". It matches the Rfam family "Bacterial small subunit ribosomal RNA", at positions 28 to 507 of the family's 1533-position model. The record is from RNAcentral.